GGCGCAAGUGUGGAAUUUUGCGCGAAGGGGGAAAACCUGUGACGCAACCGCCCCGCGUGGGAUAAGAGCUUUCAUGGAGCGAAGCUCUGUCUAGUGGGAAAAAACCACUGGGUGAUUAUACCAAUAAGUGUUGACAGUACCCCUGAAGAAAGCACCCCCGAUCUCCCCGCCACAACCCGCGGGAAUACAGGGGGGGAGAACGUUAUUCCCAAUUACUGGGCGUAAAAAGGGCGUAUGCGGGCUUUGAAAACACGUAUGAAAAACCGGGGCUCUUACCCGGAAAUGCACUUUAAACUCUGGCACUUGAGUAUGGGAGAGAGAAUAGCAAUUCCCGCUGUGUAGCGGAAAUGCGCAUAUAUCUUGAGAAAAAUCGUUGUUUAAAGCGACUUUCUGUGGCUCUACUGAGACUCAGACGCGAAAGCGCGUGGAGAACACACGAGUAUAUACACCGUGAUACCACACACCAUACACUAAUAACAAUAUGUGUCGGUUGUUGACCCGUGCUGUGCCGCCGCAAACACCUUAAUUGAUGCUCCUGCUGAGUAGCACCACCGCGAGGAUGCUCCUCUGAUGUGACGA
This 579-nucleotide ribosomal RNA is filed under the name uncultured bacterium. RNAcentral describes it as "bacterial SSU rRNA". It matches the Rfam family "Bacterial small subunit ribosomal RNA", at positions 347 to 916 of the family's 1533-position model. The record is from RNAcentral.